RNAcentral lists this ribosomal RNA (447 nucleotides) under uncultured bacterium. Its description in RNAcentral is "bacterial SSU rRNA". It matches the Rfam family "Bacterial small subunit ribosomal RNA", at positions 330 to 793 of the family's 1533-position model. The record is from RNAcentral.
CCCAGACUCCUACGGGAGGCAGCAGUGGGGAAUAUUGCACAAUGGGCGAAAGCCUGAUGCAGCAACGCCGCGUGAAGGAAGACGGUUUUCGGAUUGUAAACUUCUGUUCUUAGUGAAGAAUAAUGACGGUAACUAAGGAGCAAGCCACGGCUAACUACGUGCCAGCAGCCGCGGUAAUACGGAGGGUGCAAGCGUUGUCCGGAAUCAUUGGGCGUAAAGAGUUCGUAGGCGGUAUGUUAAGUCUGGUGUUAAAUGCAGAAGCCCAACUUCUGUUCGGCACUGGAUACUGGCAAACUAGAAUGCGGUAGAGGUAAAGGGAAUUCCUGGUGUAGCGGUGAAAUGCUUAGAUAUCAGGAGGAACAUCGGUGGCGUAAGCGCUUUACUGGGCCGUAAUUGACGCUGAGGAACGAAAGCCAGGGUAGCAAAUGGGAUUAGAUACCCUCGUAC